Molecule: ribosomal RNA, 44 nt
Filed under: Symbiodinium sp. Amami1d
Lineage: Eukaryota; Dinophyceae; Suessiales; Symbiodiniaceae
Description: partial 28S ribosomal RNA
Source: RNAcentral
CCUAGCAUAAGUCAGACAAGUGAACCCGCCGAAUUUAAGCAUAU